Molecule: ribosomal RNA, 328 nt
Filed under: uncultured eukaryote
Lineage: Eukaryota
Description: partial 18S ribosomal RNA
Rfam family: Eukaryotic small subunit ribosomal RNA
Source: RNAcentral
CCCUUAGAUGUUCUGGGCCGCACGCGCGCUACACUGACGAAUGCAACGAGCUUAUAACCUUGGCCGAAAGGUCUGGGUAAUCUCCAAAUUUCGUCGUGAUGGGGAUAGAUUAUUGCAAUUAUUAAUCUUCAACGAGGAAUGCCUAGUAAGCGCAAGUCAUCAGCUUGCGUUGAUUACGUCCCUGCCCUUUGUACACACCGCCCGUCGCUCCUACCGAUUGAAUGAUCCGGUGAGGCCCCCGGAAUGUGGCAACGGCUUUGGUUCGCCAAACUGAUGCUGCGUGAAGCUGUCCAAACCUUAUCAUUUAGAGGAAGGAGAAGUCGUAACA